AACGAACGCUGGCGGCAGGCCUAACACAUGCAAGUCGAGCGAACCUUCGGGUUAGCGGCGGACGGGUGAGUAACGCGUGGGAAUAUGCCCUUUGGUACGGAAUAGCCUCGGGAAACUGAGAGUAAUACCGUAUGUGCCCUUCGGGGGAAAGAUUUAUCGCCAAAGGAUUAGCCCGCGUUGGAUUAGGUAGUUGGUGGGGUAAUGGCCUACCAAGCCUACGAUCCAUAGCUGGUUUGAGAGGAUGAUCAGCCACACUGGGACUGAGACACGGCCCAGACUCCUACGGGAGGCAGCAGUGGGGAAUCUUAGACAAUGGGGGCAACCCUGAUCUAGCCAUGCCGCGUGAGUGAUGAAGGCCUUAGGGUUGUAAAGCUCUUUCAGCUGGGAAGAUAAUGACGGUACCAGCAGAAGAAGCCCCGGCUAACUCCGUGCCAGCCGCCGCCGUAACAC
This 450-nucleotide ribosomal RNA is filed under the name uncultured bacterium. Its description in RNAcentral is "bacterial SSU rRNA". It matches the Rfam family "Bacterial small subunit ribosomal RNA", at positions 29 to 526 of the family's 1533-position model. The record is from RNAcentral.